CGAGACCUCAGGUCAGGCGGGACUACCCGCUGAGUUUAAGC
Molecule: ribosomal RNA, 41 nt
Filed under: Collaea cipoensis
Lineage: Eukaryota; Viridiplantae; Streptophyta; Magnoliopsida; Fabales; Fabaceae
Description: partial 28S large subunit ribosomal RNA
Source: RNAcentral